This is a long non-coding RNA of Exaiptasia diaphana, 1484 nucleotides long. RefSeq lists it as uncharacterized. The transcript has 3 exons. The record is from RefSeq and is a predicted model, not a curated record. Lineage: Eukaryota; Metazoa; Cnidaria; Anthozoa; Actiniaria; Aiptasiidae.
AAAACUACAACUGGUUUCCUAGCAUCAAGGAAUAAGCUUACUUAUUUUUGUUUCCUGCUGCUUUAAUCAGUGGAAUGUUCUAGUUUGAAUAGUAGAAGAAGAACAACAAAAGAAAGUUGUGCACAUAUCAGAUGACUAAUAAAAGCAGAUUACAAUGAGUGUUCAAAAAAUCAAGCAAAUUGUCAUCAACACGCCACAUGUGUGAACAAUGAAGGRACCUUUUCCUGUMAAUGCAACAGCGGCUAUGAAGGCAAUGGUGUACAAUGUGAAGCUGGAUUCCUCAAGACGUACUGGUGGCUUGUUGUAGUGUUGGCCGUUGUUUUACUUAUUAUCAUAAUCGUACUCAUAAUUCUUGUCGUCAAAAAACACACAMAGCUUAAUAGGUGUCCUAUCUGGAGGUUCCAGGCCUCUAGAAUUCAACCUCUACCUGCUUGAAUGAGUGCAUAAAUGGAUUGGUAACGAGCGUACACUUCUUAAAGUGGAAUGGACAACAUUUUUURAUACAUUUUAUCAAUGCUUUAUGAAGUCAAAUUAGGUCGUASAAACGACGUGUUCGGCUGGAUCUGCCAUUCAGGCAAUUGUGGUGUUGGUUUCAUCUUCAUCUUGAACGUACUUGAAUAUGGCACCACGCGGUCUUGAUUGAUUUCAGAAUUUAUAUCACGACGCGAUAACUCAAUGAAAUGAUGAAGUGCAUUACAAAAUGCAGCUUUUGUUCAAUAGUAUAUUUUCCGUAUUUAAUUAAAAUUGUUGCUAACUUAAUCUAGCAAUAGUCAAGAUUUGAAAUAUUUAUUUGUAUUACUAAAUACACUCGCGAGAUUUGGCACGGAAAGGCACAACACGCAUGAGCGGCUACACUAAACUGUUACAGUAUGCCCAUAAAAGGAAUUAUAAGUAUAAAAUAUUUAUCCAUCUAAGCAAUACAUAACAUUAUUUCAUAUAAAUACAUGCUCAAAAUGAAAAACUUUGGAAUCUUCAGCGCCAUUGAUGUUAUUUCAAGCCAAUAUGGCCGACAGYAUAAGCUAAUACUGAGUCSAAAGUAUGCCUAGAGCUCAAUGUUUUCAUUAAAGUUUUGACCUCUAAUAUGUCCCUUGUCUUAUGUAGGUGGGAGAAUGUUCUCUAGGGGGUCGUAGUAGAAUCUAGCAUUCUUUUGUCAGGACAGAAACUGUUUUCUAUAGUACAUCAGGCAUCGUGGGAAUAAACGAAAAGUCCCAUGGCUUUCGCACCGGAGUUCGGUAACACGACUGAUACGCAUGAUAUACAUGUUCGCCUAAUAUUUCAUAAUAWUUUCCUUUCUCUAAUUCUAGUUGUCUUGUCUUGAACUUCUUGUGUUUCUUCAYCUUUUUAGCUGGCUAGCUUCAUCUCCUACAUUUGUUGUAAAUUGUUCGAGAUCAUGGAUCAUAUUUUAUUUUACACAUCUAGUUUCGUUCCAUAACAGCCAGAUGCAUUUUUAAUAUUCCACUCGGAAUUGAUCAUACUGGUAUCAA